Molecule: ribosomal RNA, 253 nt
Filed under: uncultured bacterium
Lineage: Bacteria
Description: partial 16S ribosomal RNA
Rfam family: Bacterial small subunit ribosomal RNA
Source: RNAcentral
UACGUAGGGUGCAAGCGUUGUCCGGAAUUAUUGGGCGUAAAGAGCUCGUAGGCGGUCUGUCGCGUCUGCUGUGAAAACUCAGGGCUUAACCCUGAGCUUGCAGUGGGUACGGGCAGACUAGAGUGCGGUAGGGGAGACUGGAAUUCCUGGUGUAGCGGUGAAAUGCGCAGAUAUCAGGAGGAACACCGAUGGCGAAGGCAGGUCUCUGGGCCACUACUGACGCUGAGAAGCGAAGGCAUGGGGAGCGAACAGG